Molecule: long non-coding RNA, 3319 nt
Organism: Ctenopharyngodon idella (grass carp)
Lineage: Eukaryota; Metazoa; Chordata; Actinopteri; Cypriniformes; Xenocyprididae
Exons: 2
Source: RefSeq, a predicted model, not a curated record
CAUUGAGAGUCCAUUCCACCAAAACUCUGACAUUUAAAGAGAUCGUAAAAUAAUCCAUUUGAAUUAAGCGGUUUAAUCCAAGUCUUCUGAAGAGACACGAUUGCUUUAUUUGAUGAACAGAUUUAAUUUAAGCUUUUAUUCACAUAUAAACACUGAACAUACUGUACAUCGAGCACAUCAGAUAAGCUAAACGGAAGCUCAAACAUACUUGAAGGGAUUCGUGAAACUGGUUUGGUGAACUUUGACCUGUGAAUUUGUAUUGAGCAAAAAUGUGCAAUUUGCAGAAAUUCUGAUAGUUUGUAAAUCGUUGGUAAAUCAAUGAGAUCUUUAUAACAUUACAGCAGAUACUUUUAUAAAAUGCAUAUAAAUAUCAAUAUCUGCCAAUAAUGUCUUAGUAAGAUGAUAUUUACAUGCUUAGUUUUAUGAUCAAACAUAUAAUACAAUGAUGAUUGAGAGAUGAACAAAUAAACCUUCCUCAAAAGAUGAUGAUCAUAUUUGAUACUCAUGAUUUUUCUAAUAAAUGAUGUCUGGAUAAUCAAGUAAAGCUGCUUCAGUCCAGAUGAAAUAUUACUAACAAUAUCAAAGUUAUUCUUACGUUUCCUUGAUAAAAUCAGAUUUUACAGCAGAAAGACACGUGAAGCACGAGCUGAAGGACGUUUGUACAGUUAUACUAAAAGACUUUUACUGGAUAAAAGAGUCAAAACUUAAUCAGAGACAGAAGGACUGGAGGCAGUGUUGCCAAGUCCUGUGAUUUUCCCGCAGAAUUGGGCUACUUUUACUUUUGUUUUUAAUAUCCACGGGUUGAAGCGACCCCAAAUAAUAUGAUAUUUAGCUCCUGGUGUGCGAAUUUUACCAGGGAACCCCGCCAACGCGGGGGAACGCGAUUUUUACCGUGGGACCCGACCCCUGAAACACAAUUGGGCUAGUUUUGGGUUUUGUUGUGAAAACCUGGCAACCCUGACUGGAGGAGAUUGUGUGCAACAGCAAAGUUUUGAUCAUUUAGAGAGGCUUUAGAAAUUUGUGUUUAAGGUUAAUACGAGAUCAAGGAAAAUGAGAUUUUUCAUGCCAUGACCCUAUAAGGACACAUUUCUGAUCUGUGAGUCCAUUAGACAUCUGUUGUGUUUUAACCCAGACCUCCAAUUAUAGUAAGUGCUUGAGAAAGCGAAGCAAACCCGAUUCAGCAACAAUCAAGAGGCAAACAGAGAGUACAGAGUGUGACGGUCCAAAUAUAAAAAAAUCAUUUAAUCAGAGCAGUUGGACUGAUGUGUAAUCAAACACUUCGAUCAGCGAAGACUCUUCUCUGUGGAGACUCAAGAAAAACAUUGAUCUCUGCAGAGGAAAAACACCAGAGGAAAGGGAAGAAGCAGAAGAGACAGAGAGAAAUGGAGACGAGGAGAUCAAAGCCGCACUGGGCCGGUUUAUCAAAUGCCACAGUAUGUAAAUGAAGCCGUCAAGAGCUCAAAACACACAGACAUGAUAAAGGGUUUUAAUCUUCAUGAAAAUGAAGGUGCUCAUCUGAAUAACUGAAGACAAACUCUACAGAGAAAAACAACAGUGUGUUGUGACGAACAGAAACAUGUCAAGCUUCUCACAGUCAGACACCGAGAAACACCAAACCGUCAGCCUGAACUUCUGCUCACAAACCAAUGACAAAUCAUCUCAAAAUCUCAUUUGUGUUUCAUGAGGGCUGCUUGAUCUUCAGCUCGUGUCAGGAUGACCUGAAUGCUGCUUUCCACUAAAACACGUCCAAUUAAAGCUGUUGCGCUCGACCGUAGCGCUUCUGCCGAGAGGCUGCAAGAGAUCACACGGACAAGCGGCAUGGAAAAACUUCACUGAAUCAAAUGAACAAACAAGCUGUUUACUCUAAAAAUCGACUGCUUUUAGUUUUUCUGGUAAUUUUUGGAGCACAACAGCCUCUGCUCUCCAUUCACUGCACAAGCUCAGACAUUCUGCUGAACAUCUGUGUUUUACAGAAUAAAAAAAUGACGACCUUCAUUCUAUGAAUUUCCAUUUUUGACUGUUAUACUGACAGCAACUGUUUGUCUUCUCUGUUGAUGUAAUCUGUAUCUGAUAACAACAUAAAACACACAGAAAAGCAGCCGAUCAGAGUUCAGAGGUCAGUCAGUGAAGCAUUAACCAGCAGCUGUAAAUCCCUCUAAAUCAUCACGGGUUUCAGCUUUACCUCAAAGUCCGGCUCCAGAGACGGCCGCGGUCAGACGGAGCUGAUGUAUUCUCCAACAGCGUUCCUGAACGAGGUCCCGGGAUGGUAUAUGUGGACGGGGAUCUUCUUACCUGUGACGGCACUCCUGCUGCUGUUCAUCGCUUACCUCAGCUGGAGGAUCCGCAAGAAGGAAGAGUUGGCCAUGACCGCAGACCCUCGGGAAACAGCGUCUCAGCUCAGUUUCGGGCCGCGCUACAGACGCAGGAAAGAGACGAGGAGCCGCACAUGAAACACACACACACACACACACACACAGUCCCACCUGUGCUGAGCGACGGACACCGUGAUUUUGCCAACUCAAGACAUGUUCCUGGAUCAACAUCUUUUGUGGUGUCAUACUGUGGACCCUCUGACAACAACAGCCAAUCACAGCGCUGGAUUGGAAAGGCGCCAAUUUGCAAAUUCCUGAUAAGGAAGGUUCUUUUUUGAGACAAAGUAGUAGUCUUCGUAGUAAAAAACAAAACAAAACAGCAACUAAGCAUGUGCCCUCAUUUUCCACCAACUUCAGAAUCCUCUCUUCAGGGAUUCUCCGUCCGCGUGUUCCAGAUCAUCUGGAUCUUCUGCAGGCUUCAGAACAUUCACCUUCAAGAAUUCUUUCCUCUGCAUGUUCCAGACAGACAAGCACCUUUUCAGUGCUCCAGAGGUUCAGCGUUCUUCAUGUUCAAGGCUGUUUAAACAGAAUCCCGCUUCUUUCUUCCCACUGUGGCGUGUCCCAGCACAACCAGUGGAAUACGCCACCGUCACCGGAUUCGUCACGUGACCAAGCAGAGCGUAAAUAUCACUUUACCUAACCUCUUCCCAGAGACUUUGGCAUUAGUGUGUACUGUCAGUUUGUGAAGUUUUUUUACCUUAGAUAUUGUACAGCUGAUGUCAGUUAAUAACAAAUAAUCAUUGAGUUUAUUGUUGAAUUCAGAAUAAGUUUCUUCACUUUAUUAGUGCAGAGAAACAAUCUUUCCACGAGGUAACGUGUAACUGCCAUGGGAACAUCCAAAUCAAUCACGUACAUUUAUCAAUCUAAUGUACUUGACUCAAUCCACUCAUUCAUUUAGUCGUUAGUUACUCUUGUCAAUCUUUUUGUUAAUAAAAAUCCUUUUAUCA